UACGUAGGGAGCAAGCGUUGUCCGGAAUCAUUGGGCGUAAAGCGCGCGUAGGUGGCUUCAUAAGUCCGUUGUGAAAGUCAAAGGCUCAACCUUUGAAAGCCGAUGGAUACUGUGGAGCUAGAGUACGGAAGAGGCGAGUGGAAUUCCCGGUGUAGCGGUGAAAUGCGCAGAUAUCGGGAGGAACACCAAUGGCGAAGGCAGCUCGCUGGGACGGUACUGACGCUGAGGCGCGAAAGCGUGGGGAGCAAACAGG
This 253-nucleotide ribosomal RNA is filed under the name uncultured bacterium. RNAcentral's name for it is "partial 16S ribosomal RNA". It matches the Rfam family "Bacterial small subunit ribosomal RNA", at positions 524 to 776 of the family's 1533-position model. The record is from RNAcentral.